GGGGGCAUGGGAGAUGUUCUCUUUAGACAGGUUUUUGUUAAGUGUCUUUUUUUUUUCUUUCUUGGACCAAUCAGAUUCCUUCUUCCACUUUCAGUGCCUUGAGCGUCAAGCUUUGGAUGACCCACCCUGUGUGGGCCGGUUUUGUGCAGGGAGCGGGUACUGCGAGCCCCAGACACACUGUCAGAUGUUGCAGUGUUGGGGAGAGGUGGAGAGGGAAUCUGGAGAGGUAGGGGGGCCGGGAAACGGCCCCGACAGAGAACUUGUGCAGACCGGGAGAAGGUGGCACGGAAGGGCGCUGCAGGCACGCCACGGCCCAUUUCUCCUCCUCCAUGCGCACGCGCGCGCACAUCCACGCAUUCCACACGACCGCUUCGCCGCCGCCACCUUCCGACCAAAGAGAACCUCUGCCCCUGCCCCGGCCUCGCCUUCCCAGGGAGCGGUGCCUGGAGUUGGCUCUUCUCUGCCUUCCCCGCUGCUGCUUGUCUGGUGGGAGGCGGGGCCUCGGGUGCAAUUCCCAGAAUGUUCCUUGCCCUUUCUCGGUGGUCACCAUUCAUUACUCAUGUUCACUUUAAUGAGUUACAUGCUCAUCAGCCACGGGCCAUCACCACCCUUACUGAUGGGCCUGAGGGGUGACAUUCCCAGGCAUCCCUUUGCUGGUAACCAGAUAAUACCCAGGAAGCAAGUAGCUCCAGUUCCGACCUCCCAGGCAGCCUCUGUGUCCUCUAUUUCAGCAGAGAGGGUCCUGCGGACUGGGCCUGGCUGGCACUUGUGGGCUCCCAGCUGUGUCCCACCCCUGGAAGCUGACCCCUUUCUGCAAGAGUCUUUUUGUGAGGACUCAGUGGGAAGGUCUGUCAAGAAUGCAGGUUCCUGUGCAGAAAACGGAUACAAAGUUUUACUGUUUUCAUAGACACCAGAGCCAUGGGUAAUCCGAACACUUAAAACCUAUGAUUGAUGGCUUUUUAAACAUGAAUAUUCAAGAAAAAAUUUUUUUCUUGUUUUGGGUUUGGCCAGACUCUAUUUCCUUCUUUUUGUUUUAAGUAUUAGGCCCAUUCUGUUGAAAUGAUGGCAAGGAAGGGCCCAAGGUGACUAGGUAAUUCAGCUGAAGGUGCAGAAAAAGGAAACCCAGUUUUCAGACGCCUGGUACAGGGCUACUUCGCUGUACUCUGCUGUUUAACACAUGGACUGGGUCCUGGGUGUCGAGCAAGCACCAUGUAAGGCAAAGGAAACAUCAGCAACCAAGGCAGCCUCUGCCUGCCCUCUGCAACUCACACGCUGGUGCCAUCAGAAUCUGAAUUGGAACUGCCUGGUAGGCCCCAUGGAACUACUGUUUUGAGGAGUGGGCUUGAUCACAGAGCUUUGCUGUCUAAUGCUUGAGUCUUCUAGCCUGGUGGUGCUCUGUACUUGGUGAUCCUGAUCACCUUCGACAUUCUUGCUUCAGUGGAAAGAGCAAGGGACUAGGGUCAGGAGACCUGAGAGCCAGUCCUGAAACUGCUGUUAACUGAGUGACCUUGGCCUAACCUCUUUACAUUCCUCGCCCCCAAUUUUCUGGCCUGUAAAGUGAGGGGUAAGGGUUGCACCAACCAAGUCUGCUCUUCACUUGCUGUUUCUGCUUGGUGGGGCCUGUGGGGCGGGGAGGGAUAGCUUAUCCCUAGCAAGGAGUUGGGAACAGUGGCUAGCACGUUGGUGGAUAGAAGGUUCUCCUAUUCAAAGAAAUUUUCACCAUGGGCUUCAUUAUCUUAUUCGAAGUGUGAAUUGAUUCCCAACAGGGACCCCUGCAUCCUAAACAGCAACAAAAAGCACACCCUAAACUUCCGAGCAAAAUCAAUAUGGUGGGUUAUCCUUUAGCCCUUGGGUCAUGCAUGGUGUUCCCCAUAUAAUCCCAAUAGGUUUGCAAAAGUGUCUCUUGCCAGGGCAGGACAGGGUGUGUUUCCUUUACUGUGUACCCAGGUUUCAGGCAACUACUGUCUGGGAAAAUGGGAGCAGCCACCCUCCACCCCAGUCCUCAGGAACAUCCCUCUGGCCCAGGGUCGGCCCGUUCCCCUUACCAAGCAGUGAAACCUGUAGUCCAAGGUGUCUAGAGCCAGGGCACAAUGAGUGGGCACAGCGGACCCUGUUGGGAAGCAGCCUUCUGCAAGGGGAACUGGUGGAGGGAAGAGGAGUAAAGCAGUUUUGACAGAAAUUCUGGUCUUGAAGAGGUUCUCGUGAUUCUGGGUGAGUCGUGGUCUCUUUCUUUAUGGAGGGCCCAGCCUGCAUCCAAAAUCCUGGAUCCCUCAAAGUCCAGCCAUGGGGUUUGCAUGAAGCAAAAACCAUAAGUUAGAAAGGAGAAAGGCCAGGGAUGGGAGCAGGGCUAUGUGCUCACAAACGUCUUGCUGGGAGUGAAGGGGCUAGUUUGACUGCCCUGUCUCUGGGCAGUAUGUUCUCUCCUUAUGCCAGCAGUCGCCUCUCCCCUCGUGGUGUUGAGGGGAGCCUUUUCUGCUUUACAGCAAGGAGCACAUUGCACCAGGCCCUCUUAUUAACCUGUGGACGCUCUGUCAGGAGCCACGAGUCCCGGGCUCCUUCAGAUGGCAUUGGAGGGCCUGUCAGUGUAUUUGACCCAGGUGCAUAGCAAUGUUGGGCCAUUUGGGUUUGAAGAAAACCACGUUAAAGCCAAGACCCCCUUUGGAGCGAACUGGCUCAGCUGCUGCCUUGCUGUUUUCUGUGUGGACAGUCCUGUCCCCACUGCUGAACUCCAGGCCCUCCCAAGGCUUCUCUGUGCAUCAGUGCUGUCUGACCUGAGCCUGGUCAUCACCCUGUCUCUGGGCCGUUGUGCGUGUUGAGAAUUACCCGGUGGGAUUAGCCAAGCUGCUGACCCUGGUGCGGCCUGUGAGGAGGCUGUGAUGAAGCCGGAGUGCCCAGACCAGGAGAUGUGAUUGGAAGGGCAUUUAUUUUUGUGAAGAGGAUAUCAAAUUAGCAUUUAAAUAUCCCAUUCCUCUCUCCUGGCCUGCCCCACCCCGCAGGGUUUCUCUGUCCCCAAGUUCAGACUUUGAGAAUGGCACCGGCUCACCUUUGUCUGCUGGGUCCUGACACUCCAGACCUCUGGGCUGGUGGAGGGGCCUCAGAAAUGGAUGGUGGGGGCGGGAUCCCAUUUUCUUGCAUCACUGUGAGGGAGCUCCAGGCCCUGUCCCUGGAGAAAUAAUUGCUGCGCAGAAGUCACAGGCCAUGCUGGGCAGUUCUGGUACAAGCCUGCCCUUAAAAAAAAUAAUAAUAAUAACUCCAUUUGCAUAGAACUAUCACUCAUUCCUACCAGCCCACUGCCUCUGUCCUUGGCUUUUUUGCUGGCCCAAAUCACGGGCCUCUGAGUGUUGGUGGUCCCUGGGCUCUUCAGAUGCUGCCGCUUGGGAAUACUAACUCUGGGGAGACAGCAGCCAAAUUGCCAAUACAAUCAAACUCUUGACACAAUCCUGUUAGCAGUAGUGACCCAGAAGAUUCUGCUGCCUACAAUUUCACCAGAAAGAGGUCCAGAGCUCCCUGUGGUCACAUUUUCUACCCCCAGCUAUUCCUGGGAUUGCAACUGCCAUGUCUGGCUCCAGUUGAAUUUUCUCCACCCAACCCCCCAGUAAUAAAUGGAUCCAUGAUGAUAACUAAGAGAAGAGAAAAAAAAUAUAUUAUUUUUGUUAGGACAAACCAUCGUAGAUUUUUAGCAAUGUGUAUCUGUGUGUCCCUCACACCUUUUUCCUAUUCUGCCUUUUUUUUUCCUUUUUUUAAAAUAUUAUGUACUAUAUUUUUAGUCUCAAACACACUAUAUAUUAUAUAUAUUUAAUUUUUUUAUAUAUAUAAAUAUAAAUGUUUUAAAAAGU
Microcebus murinus (gray mouse lemur) is the source of this 3836-nucleotide non-coding RNA. NCBI's taxonomy places the organism in Eukaryota, Metazoa, Chordata, Mammalia, Primates, Cheirogaleidae. The record is from RefSeq and is a predicted model, not a curated record.